GACGAACGCUGGCGGCGUGCUUAACACAUGCAAGUCGAACGAAGUGGCGAACGGGUGAGUAAUACGUGAGUAACCUGCCCUCAUUUUUGGGAUAAGCCUUGGAAACGGGGUCUAAUAGCGAAUACAGGGGGAUGGGCUCGCGGCCGAUCAGCUUGUUGGUGGGGUGAUGGCGUACCAAGGCGGUGACGGGUAGCCGGCCUGAGAGGGUGACCGUGCACAUGGGGACUGAUAUACGGCCCAGACUCCGACAGGAGGCGGGAGUGUGGGAUAUUGCACAAGGGGCGAAAGCAGCAUGGAGGGGCGCCGCGGGGGGGAUGAAGGCUUGCGGGUUGUAAACCUCUUGCGCGAUCGAACGGGUAUGUGGAGAAGAAGCGCCGGCUAACUACGUGCCAGCAGCCGCGGUAAUUC
This 408-nucleotide ribosomal RNA is filed under the name uncultured bacterium. Its description in RNAcentral is "partial 16S ribosomal RNA". It matches the Rfam family "Bacterial small subunit ribosomal RNA", at positions 28 to 526 of the family's 1533-position model. The record is from RNAcentral.